GCGGUGAUGUUUCUCCCCAAAAUUUCCAUUCUUUCUCUUGGCUCGUGCCCCCGGCUAUGUUCUCUCUUUCACUGGAAAAAUACCGCCCUAAUCAUGUCGCCGGAACCAGUUCGCAACACCUAAUGGUUUCGGAAGAUCUUUCAAUUUACAGCCUAUUUAUGAAAAAUAUUCAAAUUGGGGAGAAAUUGUUCGUGCAAUUUCUAUUCGGAAGUUUUUACGAGCCGGACGAAGGCGCCUAAAAAUCAAGGUUGACUAAAAGGCAACAUUGUAAUCGUCCUCUCACUAUUCUUCGAUUUUCUCUUUCGAUUUCAUCAAAAACAGAAAAGGAAAACAUUAUUGCAACACGUUUGCUUGUAGAUGUUUAUAGAUUGCACAAAUUUAUCAUCAUUCGACUCUUAAUCAAUAGUUUUCUGUCAUGUCAAAGCGUCAUGCCAUUCGUUGGGAUCGACAGCGCGCCGCGUCCUUACUCAAGGAACAGUUUCGCAACGUGAAACAUUUAAUUAAUAAUGUUGUCAUGGCGCCUUGAAAAAGAAAUACGGGAAUAUGCGCAGUGCAAUAUCGUUGUUACGACGCUGCACGAACCGGAUUUGUUUCAAUACGGAUUCUAAUCGAUACAAAGAUAAAAUUUGGGCCCUUAUGAAACUUUCUGAAUUAAUACCAGGUAAUUUACCUGGAUGUUUGCUCUCUUUUUGUCGUCAAGCUAUUCCUCUCGUUGAUUCCCUUGUGAACAUCGACCAGCAACGUUCGUUUAAGGCCAACACAGACAUUAACGUACGACUGAUUUCGAAGAAUUGUAUUUA
Molecule: long non-coding RNA, 800 nt
Organism: Daphnia magna
Lineage: Eukaryota; Metazoa; Arthropoda; Branchiopoda; Diplostraca; Daphniidae
Exons: 3
Source: RefSeq, a predicted model, not a curated record